GCGACAGUAGCUCAAUUGGCUAGAGCAUCAGUUUUCCAAACUGAGGGUUGCGGGUUCGACCCCCGUCUGUCGCUCCA
RNAcentral lists this transfer RNA (77 nucleotides) under Candidatus Dojkabacteria bacterium. RNAcentral describes it as "tRNA-Gly". It matches the Rfam family "tRNA". Rfam says of the family: Transfer RNA (tRNA) molecules are approximately 80 nucleotides in length. Their secondary structure includes four short double-helical elements and three loops (D, anti-codon, and T loops). The record is from RNAcentral.